UCAAAUCAUGCAUAAACUUGUUCUAAAACAUGCAUAAACACCAUAUAUCACACCUAGGGGUCUCAAACUAUCAAAUACCCCAACUACAACACUUCAAACACACAAAAUCAACAUACAUUGUUCAUCAAAACAUCAAAACCCAUAAACUCAUCAUAUAACCUAAACAUGCAUCUCUACUCAUAAAACGACUUAAAACUUACUUAAAACAUAUAAGGAGCUUAAGAUCGGCUCUUACCUCUUGAAGAUCGAGAGGGAGACGACCUAAACUUGGAGAUCCACGAAAAUGAGCUCCUGAGUUCCCAAAGCUCCAAAACUUGUUUUAAA
This 324-nucleotide long non-coding RNA is filed under the name Manihot esculenta (cassava). RNAcentral's name for it is "long non-coding RNA (MESC_LNC009242)". Lineage: Eukaryota; Viridiplantae; Streptophyta; Magnoliopsida; Malpighiales; Euphorbiaceae. The record is from RNAcentral.